Non-coding RNA from Protopterus annectens (West African lungfish), 87 nucleotides. NCBI's taxonomy places the organism in Eukaryota, Metazoa, Chordata, Ceratodontiformes, Protopteridae. The record is from the annotation of a RefSeq genome assembly.
GCCGGGAAGAGCUUCAGUGGUCUGGGGUGCAGGAUUCAAGCCUGUAGCUGUCAGGUGACAGAGUGGUUCGAUUUCACCCUUCAGAUG